GAUGAACGCUGACAGAAUGCUUAACACAUGCAAGUCUACUUGAUCCUUCGGGUGAUGGUGGCGGACGGGUGAGUAACGCGUAAAGAACUUGCCCUGCAGUCUGGGACAACAUUUGGAAACGAAUGCUAAUACCGGAUAUUAUGCGAGAUUCGCAUGUUUCUCGUAUGAAAGCUAUAUGCGCUGCAGGAGAGCUUUGCGUCCUAUUAGCUAGUUGGUGAGGUAACGGCUCACCAAGGCGAUGAUAGGUAGCCGGCCUGAGAGGGUGAACGGCCACAAGGGGACUGAGACACGGCCCUUACUCCUACGGGAGGCAGCAGUGGGGAAUAUUGGACAAUGGACCAAAAGUCUGAUCCAGCAAUUCUGUGUGCACGAUGAAGUUUUUCGGAAUGUAAAGUGCUUUCAGUUGGGACGAAGUAAGUGACGGUACCAACAGAAGAAGCGACGGCUAAAUACGUGCCAGCAGCCGCGGUAAUACGUAUGUCGCAAGCGUUAUCCGGAUUUAUUGGGCGUAAAGCGCGUCUAGGCGGUUUGGUAAGUCUGAUGUGAAAAUGCGGGGCUCAACUCCGUAUUGCGUUGGAAACUGUCAAACUAGAGUACUGGAGAGGUGGGCGGAACUACAAGUGUAGAGGUGAAAUUCGUAGAUAUUUGUAGGAAUGCCGAUGGGGAAGCCAGCCCACUGGACAGAUACUGACGCUAAAGCGCGAAAGCGUGGGUAGCAAACAGGAUUAGAUACCCUGGUAGUCCACGCCGUAAACGAUGAUUACUAGGUGUUGGGGGUCGAACCUCAGCGCCCAAGCUAACGCGAUAAGUAAUCCGCCUGGGGAGUACGUACGCAAGUAUGAAACUCAAAGGAAUUGACGGGGACCCGCACAAGCGGUGGAGCAUGUGGUUUAAUUCGACGCAACGCGAGGAACCUUACCAGCGUUUGACAUCCUAGGAAGUCGGCAGAGAUGCCUUCGUGCCCCUUCGGGGGAACCUAGUGACAGGUGGUGCAUGGCUGUCGUCAGCUCGCGUCGUGAGAUGUUGGGUUAAGUCCCGCAACGAGCGCAACCCCUUUCGUAUGUUGCCAUCAUUAAGUUGGGAACUCAUGCGAUACUGCCUGCGAUGAGCAGGAGGAAGGUGGGGAUGACGUCAAGUCAUCAUGCCCCUUAUACGCUGGGCUACACACGUGCUACAAUGGGUAGUACAGAGAGUCGCUAACCUGCGAGGGGGAGCUAAUCUCAGAAAACUAUUCUCAGUUCGGAUUGUACUCUGCAACUCGAGUACAUGAAGUUGGAAUCGCUAGUAAUCGCAAAUCAGCUAUGUUGCGGUGAAUACGUUCUCGGGUCU
This 1329-nucleotide ribosomal RNA is filed under the name uncultured bacterium. RNAcentral describes it as "bacterial SSU rRNA". It matches the Rfam family "Bacterial small subunit ribosomal RNA", at positions 28 to 1381 of the family's 1533-position model. The record is from RNAcentral.